AAGAAUCUACUCUGCAUCCUGAUUAGCUCAAUCAGCUCAAUAGCUCGUGUCUGCUUAUGACCCUCAUGCACCAUGAAGAAUAAUUCGUUCACUCACCUUCAAAAUUCAGCACCAAUGAGAACAUAGGCAAAGUGUUUGGGAAGCCAUCUUGAGAACAGUGCUUAAGUGAAAAGGCCUUUAGCAGAAACUGCUAGAACAAUCAUCUUUUCAAACACCAGUAUGAGGAAAACUAACGCUAAAAACUGUAAAACAUCUAUAUAUUGCCCACCAAAGUAAAGGUAUGGAGAGAAUGAUUAUUUUUAACAAGGUUAGCACACCAACGAUGGUGGUUUUUAAGGAUAUGCUUGAGCGGGUUUCAGCCAUUCUUAAACAGUAAUUGGCAAGAACAGAGCUAAAAUUAGGAACCAUCAAAGGAAUGCCAGACAUUGCUCUUUCUGGGGACAUGCCACAAUCUGUCAAUCUAGCCUAGUCUCCAGAUAAACAAUAGAUAUGGUGACCUUCGAGUGGCAAAACAGAUACCAUGUCAUAUGUUGCUUGGACUAAAUAUUUAUGUUUAUGUUGUAAUAUAGUAAUGCUAGCUCUUUCAACUUCAAAUGCAGAAAUAACUGUAUACAUUGGUCACUCAUAAUUUCCAAAGACAUGAUCACAAUACAUCAGAAGAUGAUACAAAGACAUCUCACUCAAUUUCUCUGCUUUACUCUUUCUGUACCACGAAUCCCGUGAUGUUCUGUCCAUCCAUUCCUGUCCCCUGGUCUCUUAAUAAUUAAUUUGAGCCAUUCUCUUUCAUGGCACUUGGCCAUUUUCUCUUACUUGCUAAUAAGUUUUCAACCAUGGAGGUAAAAUAAUGCAAAUUGUGAUAAAUCUAUUGAACAAAUGUGAUGUAACUACGCUCGUGGCAGACAACCCAUCUUGUGAUUUAAUUUUUUUUCAAGUGCCUGUACAUAGUAGGAGACUGAAAGGAUCUUCGAUGGGCUCUCACAGGACUGUGGAGCUUGUUUUGAAUAUUCGAAUUUUUCCACCUUUUCUUUAAUGGGAUGUAUUUCUUCAUAUUAAAAAUGCAAAUCAUGCAAGUGAUUCUUCUGUUUUUUUAAAAAGACCGCUGUACCCAUGACCUCUCUCGAGAUAAAAUUGAGGUUUUGGUUUCAUUCCCAACAUCUCUGAACAGCAAGUCUUAGAGUCCCACUGUUUCUGUUCAUUCUCCUGUUCCACUCUAGCCAAGCCUGAGGUGGUUUCUGCAGCCAGCUGAGAGGUGGGAGCAGAUUGGAUGAUGAAUCUAAAUGAUUGGAUGGUGUGAUUUCUCCUGCCCUGUUCGAAGGUGUAGGCCUGUGGAACAUCAGCAGCGCAGCCGUCAGAUAACAAAUGUUUAGCUUGAAUGCCAACUUCUCCUUUUGUCCCUCUAGAAGCCUUGGCGAGAUACAAAUGCUUCAAUUCUUAACCAAAAGCUUUGUGUCUGUCUCCGAUUGCCUUGCUUCUAUGGGGACCCCUCUCCUUCUAGAGGUCCUGAUCAUGUUUCUAUCAUCUGUGAAGUCUUUACUUGCCAGGGACCAGGACCAGCCUCGAUUGAAGGUGGGGUCUGGAGAAGGGUGGAUGCAAGAACAUCGAAAGGAAGGAAGGAUCACACAUAGGACAUCAUUUGCUUCAUGAGAGACAGGACUGUAAGAAGCAUAAGUAUAGCAAAGAGUGUGCAGCGAGUAUCUGUCAGCGACAGUGAAGGGUCAGUCCAGAUUGUUCAAGCACUGGAACUUUGUCAAACAGCGCCCUCAGGACACUUGGCAUCACCAUAGAUCCUCUUUCACGUCUUUGUGACUUCAAAACCAUUCUAAAGCUAUUCAGAGGUCUACCAUUUACAUUUUCGCAAAAUGUUCCUUGCUUGUGUGCCUGGUGAAAGUGUUCUUAUCUGCACGUCCCACACUCUAAAUAUUCCUUGCAAGCUCUCUCACUACCGCAACCCCAUCUGCAUGCCCUCCUUUGGGCUUCAAUGGCAUCUACUUUGAGAUCACAGUAUUAAGAAGGUCUUGACUUAUCCAGACCCAUGCAGAUCUUUAGUCUGAGGAGUGAUGCCUCGGGCUCCAGACUCCAGGUAUUCCUAAUUGCUUACUCCUUGGUUAAAUUAUAUCCAGUGAAUUACAAUUGCUGUCUGUGUUUAUGUUGGGUAGCAUUGUUGAUUUUUUUUUAAUUCAGUUCAAAUUUUAUCUAGACUGUAUACCUCCAAAGGUUUGAAAAAAAAGUUGUAUGAAUUCUAAUUACAGCCCAUUCACUGAAAAUAAGUGGAAAAUUAAUUUAACUGCUAUUCGCAAGCUCUUUGACAGAUUUUCUCUAAAAAAAAAAAAAAAAAAAAAAAAAAAAAAGGCUAUUUCUGCAGUUAGCUGAGAAAGCACCACAGGAAGAAACCUUCUCUUUUAACUAAAACUUUUCCUAGAGAUUAAUGUCACUAGGAAAUGUUCCCUUUUCUUUAACUUCUAACUAGGCUACCACUUUGGGGGUAAAAUAUUAUCAUAAACAUGGAAAGUAUGAUUAGGAAGUAAGACCAUUUCCUUUAAAACGUAUCUAAAAGAACAUAUCAUAUUGUUACUGAGA
Molecule: long non-coding RNA, 2577 nt
Filed under: Mus musculus (house mouse)
Lineage: Eukaryota; Metazoa; Chordata; Mammalia; Rodentia; Muridae
Description: long non-coding RNA chr14:117763433-117766010
Source: RNAcentral